CCUUACCAUCCCUUGACAUCCGGGUCGCGGGUGCGGAGACGCAUCUUUCAGUUCGGCUGGAUCCUGGACAGGUGCUGCAUGGCUGUCGUCAGCUCGUGUCGUGAGAUGUUGGUUUAAGUCCCGCAACGAGCGCAACCCUCGCCUUUAGUUGCCAGCAUUCAGUUGGGCACUCUAGAGGAACCGCCGGUGAUAAGCCGGAGGAAGGUGGGGAUGACGUCAAGUCCUCAUGGCCCUUACGGGAUGGGCUACACACGUGCUACAAUGGUAGUGACAAUGGGUUA
This 281-nucleotide ribosomal RNA is filed under the name uncultured bacterium. RNAcentral describes it as "partial 16S ribosomal RNA". It matches the Rfam family "Bacterial small subunit ribosomal RNA", at positions 969 to 1249 of the family's 1533-position model. The record is from RNAcentral.